ACGCUGGCGGCAGGCCUAACACAUGCAAGUCGAGCGGUAGAGAGGAGCUUGCUUCUCUUGAGAGCGGCGGACGGGUGAGUAAUGCCUAGGAAUCUGCCUGGUAGUGGGGGAUAACGUUCGGAAACGGACGCUAAUACCGCAUACGUCCUACGGGAGAAAGCAGGGGACCUUCGGGCCUUGCGCUAUCAGAUGAGCCUAGGUCGGAUUAGCUAGUUGGUGGGGUAAUGGCUCACCAAGGCGACGAUCCGUAACUGGUCUGAGAGGAUGAUCAGUCGCACUGGAACUGAGACACGGUCCAGACUCCUACGGGAGGCAGCAGUGGGGAAUAUUGGACAAUGGGCGAAAGCCUGAUCCAGCCAUGCCGCGUGUGUGAAGAAGGUCUUCGGAUUGUAAAGCACUUUAAGUUGGGAGGAAGGGUUGUAGAUUAAUACUCUGCAAUUUUGACGUUACCGACAGAAUAAGCACCGGCUAACUCUGUGCCAGCAGCCGCGGUAAUACAGAGGGUGCAAGCGUUAAUCGGAAUUACUGGGCGUAAAGCGCGCGUAGGUGGUUAGUUAAGUUGGAUGUGAAAUCUCCGGGCUCAACCUGGGAACUGCAUUCAAAACUGACUGACUAGAGUAUGGUAGAGGGUGGUGGAAUUUCCUGUGUAGCGGUGAAAUGCGUAGAUAUAGGAAGGAACACCAGUGGCGAAGGCGACCACCUGGACUGAUACUGACACUGAGGUGCGAAAGCGUGGGGAGCAAAC
RNAcentral lists this ribosomal RNA (745 nucleotides) under uncultured bacterium. RNAcentral describes it as "bacterial SSU rRNA". It matches the Rfam family "Bacterial small subunit ribosomal RNA", at positions 33 to 773 of the family's 1533-position model. The record is from RNAcentral.